RNAcentral lists this transfer RNA (73 nucleotides) under Stegodyphus mimosarum. It matches the Rfam family "tRNA". From Rfam's summary of the family: Transfer RNA (tRNA) molecules are approximately 80 nucleotides in length. Their secondary structure includes four short double-helical elements and three loops (D, anti-codon, and T loops). Lineage: Eukaryota; Metazoa; Arthropoda; Arachnida; Araneae; Eresidae. The record is from Rfam by way of RNAcentral.
GCCUUCGUGGUGUAGUGGUCAGUACGCUCGACGCAUAUUCGAGAGGUCCGUGGUUCAAGUCCCGACGACAGCA